GUUAAAAGCACUUGGACUAAAACCAAGAGUUUAAAAUUCAUCAUAUCCAAAAAUUUCUAUUGAUAGACCAGAAACUAGGUCUAAGAAAAUAUAGUUUAUAACCAAAAUUGUAAAAUGUAAAACAGGUUUUCACAUGCCAAGAUACUUAAAAAUAUUUUUCCCACUAUAUAGUUCACAUCCAAACUGUAAGCUGUGGUCUCAUGGAUUUGGGUUUGUAUAGAGUACAAGGUCAUAGCCCCUGAAGUCAUUAUCAAGCCAGUGUGAAUGCAAAUGAUGAGUAGAGUUUCAAUUAUACAUAUAUUCAGAUAAGUAAGAAUUUUUAUACAGAAUUCAAAAUGGAAAUAGUUAUCAAUUUUAAACAUUCUCUCCAUGAAUGAUCUGAUGGUAUACAGCUAUUUUGUUAUUCAUUUUCCUUACAUUACUAUGUAAAGCCCUGGAGACUAACAUGAAAAAUGAAGCAGGUCCUGUCAGUAUAAAUUUCCUGUGUAAUUUUAAAGACUCUGUCUAAUAUCAGCAUAUAAAUAACUUACUUUAAAAUGCCAUAAUUAAAAAAAAAAUAAAAUAGUGUAGCCUUACAAAAAAAGAGACAUGAUUAUAUUUAAUUUAAUUAAGUAUAAUUCAUAAGAACAAAUUUCUAUGAGAGAAAAUUCGAAGCUGUGGAGAUUUCCUCCUGCUUUUCAGUAGAAGUGAGGCUAAUUUCAGGCUUAAGAGACCAAAGAGUCUGUCAGUCAAAUAGCAACUAACUUCAGGUACUGUCACAUUGCUAGUCAGUACCCAGUAAAUGAUGUUAUUUGGACUCAAAUUUGGCAUGUGUGAACUGAAAAUUUCUAUUGUGAGCUACAUCUUGUGUUUCUGUGCACAAAGAUUUUAUGCAUCCUUGCUUUUCUCACUAGGAAUGACAGGCCAAUAUUUUUCUUUUCCUUUUCAUGUUGUCAAAGACCAAGAUCAUCUUUUAGCCUAGAACAACAUGAGUGAAAAUCCAAUACAAAUCAAAAAAUUGGCACCCUACAACCUAAGCUCACAUAGUCCUCCUAGAUUCUGAAGAGUGCUGCAUACUGCCUCGUGGGACCAGGAAGCUGGGUGUAACUCCUCAAACAUAAUGCAAAAACAGGUGAGUAAUCUGAACUAGAAGAAAUAAAUGAAGCAAUUCUUGUAUCAUCAGUCCUUGGAAAAACUUUAAGAACUCUUAUUCUCCACAGUGAUUCUUCACUAGUAAACCAUGUUGUCACAUAAUUUGUUCAUCUUUUCAACACUAUUAAUCUCCUUUGUUCUACUAUUGCUCACAGACAGAAGUGGAAGCUGUUCGUCUACAUUGUUUAUAGAUAAAAUUAUUCUUUAACUCUAUUCCAUGAUUUCAUACAUUUAUCACAGGCUGCCCUCUUGCAUGAAAACACAAAGGAAUAAAUUUUAAAAUC
Non-coding RNA from Cyanistes caeruleus (blue tit), 1415 nucleotides. NCBI's taxonomy places the organism in Eukaryota, Metazoa, Chordata, Aves, Passeriformes, Paridae. The record is from RefSeq and is a predicted model, not a curated record.